AGAACGAACGCUGGCGGCAUGCCUAAUACAUGCAAGUCGAACGAAGGCUUCGGCCUUAGUGGCGCACGGGUGCGUAACGCGUGGGGAAUCUGCCCCUUGGUUCGGAAUAACAGUUGGAAACGACUGCUAAUACCGGAUGAUGACGAAAGUCCAAAGAUUUAUCGCCAAGGGAUGAGCCCGCGUAGGAUUAGCUAGUUGGUGAGGUAAAGGCUCACCAAGGCGACGAUCCUUAGCUGGUCUGAGAGGACGAUCAGCCACACUGGGACUGAGACACGGCCCAGACUCCUACGGGAGGCAGCAGUAGGGAAUAUGGACAGUGGGCGAAAGCCUGAUCCAGCAAGUGCCGCGGUGAGUGAUGAAGGCCGUUAGGUAGUAAGCUACGUUUACCGAG
This 391-nucleotide ribosomal RNA is filed under the name uncultured soil bacterium. RNAcentral's name for it is "bacterial SSU rRNA". It matches the Rfam family "Bacterial small subunit ribosomal RNA", at positions 26 to 444 of the family's 1533-position model. The record is from RNAcentral.